This 71-nucleotide transfer RNA is filed under the name Thermoplasmata archaeon. RNAcentral's name for it is "tRNA-Cys". It matches the Rfam family "tRNA". Rfam says of the family: Transfer RNA (tRNA) molecules are approximately 80 nucleotides in length. The record is from RNAcentral. RNAcentral also lists the same sequence under 1 other name. Lineage: Archaea; Methanobacteriati; Thermoplasmatota; Thermoplasmata.
GGGCGGGUCACCUAGAGGUCGGGUGGCGGACUGCAGAUCCGCAUACGCGGGUUCAAAUCCCGCCCCGCCCU